Molecule: RNA transcript, 1077 nt
Organism: Asparagus officinalis (garden asparagus)
Lineage: Eukaryota; Viridiplantae; Streptophyta; Magnoliopsida; Asparagales; Asparagaceae
Gene name: citrate synthase 4, mitochondrial-like
Exons: 4
Source: RefSeq, a predicted model, not a curated record
AGUGGCUGGCGUUCUUCGGUCAGGGGGCUAGGGAUUACGAUCUCGAGGAUUUCCUUAAGGCAUCGGCGGAGAUUUUGGGAAAGGGGACGUUCGGGACGGCGUACAAGGUGGUGCUGGAUAUGGGGACGUUGGCGGUGGUGAAGAGGUUGAAGGGAUGAGCACCACAGAGAUAGAGUUCAGAGAGAAGAUCACGGUGAUCGGAGUGAUGGAGCAUCAGAAUUUGGUGGGUUUGAGGGCUUAUUACUAUAGUUAGGAUGAGAGGUUGCUGGUGUAUGAUUACAUGCCAAUGGGGAGCUUGUCUUCUCUUCUCCAUGGAGUGGUUGAAGAAGCUAAAAUCAGAACAUGGAAAAGUUCAACUUGGCAACAGCAUUGUGGAUAUGGUGCUCAUCUCAACAAAUUACAGAUAUGUCAAUUUUAUAUUUUCCAUUUGGCUGUGUGGGCAACACACCUAUUACUGGCACAUAGCCGAUAGUGUGUGUGGAUAACGUUAAUUGAUCUCAAGUCGUUGAAUUUUGAUAGGUUAUAGGUGGAAUGAGAGGAACGACUGGAUUAUUGUGGGAAACGUCAUUACUUGAUCCUGAUGAGAAAGGUUCUCUCUGUUCACGGUUAGAAUAGGUUCAGGGAUGAAAAGGCGAGCGGGUCUAUAUACACUGAGCAAGAUGAUUGCGACAAUGGACAGAGCGAUCUCUGACUACAAGAGUCCUUACAGGAAUCAACUGUUUAACUUGGCGAGAAGGAUAUCUUGGAGAAGAGGAAUAAGGGGAUGUUCUCCGUAAAGUUCAAUUCUGACUUACACAUAUUCGCAAACAAUAAACUCUCAAGAUAUCUCUGUUGUGUAGGAGUGUGGCUUGUGUAGUAUGAAAAUUUUAUGAUGCUAUGAAAGGUUCCCUGUAUGUGCAAAUAUGAUUAAAUAUUUGUUGCAGGAAAAUUGAAUACUCCUUUCACACGAAGCACAAUAGAAGUGAAGUUGCCAAAUAGGCUAUUUUUAAUGUGAAAUCGCUAUUAUCUAAAGUAUAUUUUCUUGUGUAUAAAGAGAACUAUCGGUCUAUAAAUAGUUAAAAUGAUGAUCUUGUGUAA